GGGGCCAUAGCUCAGCUGGUAGAGCACUUGCCUGGCAGGCAAGGGGUCAGGGGUUCGAGUCCCCUUGGCUCCA
Molecule: transfer RNA, 73 nt
Filed under: Actinomycetes bacterium
Lineage: Bacteria; Bacillati; Actinomycetota; Actinomycetes
Also listed under: 2 other names
Description: Actinobacteria bacterium (activated sludge metagenome) tRNA-Ala
Rfam family: tRNA
About the family: Transfer RNA (tRNA) molecules are approximately 80 nucleotides in length.
Source: RNAcentral